UGUAUAUUAUUUAAAUUGUAGAAGCACAUAUUAUUUGGACAUUUAAAAAUGCUAAUUCAUUUUAUUCCUAGAACCACAAGGAAGUAACAAAAAUAAAAGUGUGUGUGUGUGUAUGUGUGUGUGUGUGUGAAGGCUUCUCUAGCUUGUAUCUCCAA
RNAcentral lists this small RNA (155 nucleotides) under Marmota monax (woodchuck). Lineage: Eukaryota; Metazoa; Chordata; Mammalia; Rodentia; Sciuridae. The record is from RNAcentral.